This 449-nucleotide ribosomal RNA is filed under the name uncultured bacterium. Its description in RNAcentral is "partial 16S ribosomal RNA". It matches the Rfam family "Bacterial small subunit ribosomal RNA", at positions 29 to 523 of the family's 1533-position model. The record is from RNAcentral.
AACGAACGCUGGCGGCAGGCUUAACACAUGCAAGUCGAACGCACCUUUCGGGGUGAGUGGCAGACGGGUGAGUAACGCGUGGGAAUAUACCCUUCUCUACGGGAUAGCUCCGGGAAACUGGAAUUAAUACCGUAUAAGUCCUGAGGGAGAAAGAUUUAUCGGGGAAGGAUGAGCCCGCGUUGGAUUAGCUAGUUGGUGGGGUAAAGGCCUACCAAGGCGACGAUCAAUAGCUGGUCUAGGAGGAUGAUCAGCCACAUUGGGACUGAGACACGGCCCAAACUCCUACGGGAGGCAGCAGUGGGGAAUAUUGGACAAUGGGCGCAAGCCUGAUCCAGCCAUGCCGCGUGAGUGAUGAAGGCCCUAGGGUUGUAAAGCUCUUUCAGUGGGGACGAUAAUGACGGUACCCACAGAAGAAGCCCCGGCUAACUUCGUGCCAGCCGCCGCAGUAA